UCUACGGGUGGCAGCAGUGAGGAAUAUUGGUCAAUGGGCGUAAGCCUGAACCAGCCAAGUCGCGUGAGGGAUGAAGGUUCUAUGGAUCGUAAACCUCUUUUAUAAGGGAAUCAAGUGCGGGACGUGUCCCGUUUUGUAUGUACCUUAUGAAUAAGGCUCGGCUAACUCCGUGCCAGCAGCCGCGGUAAUACGGAGGUUCCGAGCGUUAUCCGGAUUUAUUGGGUUUAAAGGGUGCGUAGGCGGCCUUGUAAGUCAGGGGGGAAAGUCUGUGGCUCAACCCUAGAAUUGCGGUUGAAACUGGGAGGCUUGAGUAUGUUUGAGGCAGGCGGAAGGCGUGGUGUAGCGGGGAAAUGCUUAGAUAUCACGCAGAACCCCGAGUGCGAAGGCAGCCUGCCAAGCCAUGACUGACGCUGAUGCACGAAAGCGUGGGGAUCAAACAGGAUUAGAUACCCCUGUAGUC
RNAcentral lists this ribosomal RNA (460 nucleotides) under uncultured bacterium. Its description in RNAcentral is "partial 16S ribosomal RNA". It matches the Rfam family "Bacterial small subunit ribosomal RNA", at positions 338 to 795 of the family's 1533-position model. The record is from RNAcentral.